AUCCAGAUAGUUUAAUAAAAAUGUUGGCCUGUGAAUCCAAAGAUGUGUUUUAUGCUCUGGGUC
This 63-nucleotide transfer RNA is filed under the name Halocaridinides fowleri. RNAcentral describes it as "tRNA-His". Lineage: Eukaryota; Metazoa; Arthropoda; Malacostraca; Decapoda; Atyidae. The record is from RNAcentral.